UGAUACCAAGGGUCCAAAGGUCAUGUGUUUCAUGCUUGCAUGAAAAAACAUGACUUUGGGACCCGCAAAACAUGAGAAAGGAGCCCUAACAGGGCGGAUUUCUCAUGUUUUAGGAUUGUGAGAGCACAAAGUGCGGAACAAUCCGUUGGUAUCC
RNAcentral lists this small RNA (154 nucleotides) under Anaerobium acetethylicum. RNAcentral describes it as "Clostridiales-1 RNA". It matches the Rfam family "Clostridiales-1 RNA". Lineage: Bacteria; Bacillati; Bacillota; Clostridia; Lachnospirales; Lachnospiraceae. The record is from RNAcentral.